Callithrix jacchus (white-tufted-ear marmoset) is the source of this 2257-nucleotide non-coding RNA. The record is from RefSeq and is a predicted model, not a curated record. Lineage: Eukaryota; Metazoa; Chordata; Mammalia; Primates; Cebidae.
AGGGAUAACGCUUGGGGGAUCGCUGUGAGGACUCGGAGUUAUGGAAACCGCUUUUUGCAAGACCCAGCCAGUGCCCACACUCAUCUCACUUGAAGCGAGAAAAAAAGAAAGAGAGAAAGAAAGAAAAAAAGAAUUAAAAGAAUGAAAGAGAGGAAGAAAGAGGAAGAGAAAACCUGGCAAGUUUUUAACCUGAUCUCCCCAACACAGAGAUUCUGAUUUAUUUGGUUGGGGGGUGGGGCCCAGGUAUCCUAUUUUGUAAAAGGUCCCCAGGUAACUCCAAUGUGCUGAGGGGUCCUAGUUAGAAAUGCAUAAUCUCAGGUCUCUCCCCAGGCCUGUUCUCAGAGCUUAUCCACUCCUUCACCGAGUGGCUCACUGCCAUUCUUCCACGCUGGCUGUAAACAGACUCUUCAUUUUAAGCAGACCCCCCUACGUGAAUUAGAUACACAUUAAGGUUUGAGAAUCAUUGGCUGACACCAAUAGUUCUCAAACAUUAGUGUGUAUCAGAAUCACCUGAGGGGCUUGUUAUCUCAGCUUGCUGAGCCCCACUCCCAGUUUGACUCAGGCGGUCUGAGGUGGGGCCCAGAGAUAAAGUGCAUUUUUGUUUUUUUGAGACGGAAUUUUGCUCUUGUUCCCCAGGCUGGCGUGAUCUCAGCUCACCACAACCUCUGCCUCCCGGGUUCAAACAAUUCUUCUGCCUCAGCCUCCCUAGUAGCUGGGAUUACUGGCGCCUGCCACCACACCCGGCUAAUUUUUUAUUUUUAGUAGAGAUGGGGUUUCGCCAUGUUGGCCAGUCUGGUCUUGAACUCCUGUUCUCAGGUGAUCCACCCACCUGAGCUUCCCAAAGUGCUGGAAUUACAUGCGUGGUCCAGCCGGAUAAAGUGCAUUUUGAACAUGUUCCCAGGUGAUGCUGCUGGUCAGUGGCCCACGCUGAGAACCAUGCAGCUGUUAUGUAAGUAGAAAUUUAGGUAAUGAGGCCCGGCAACCGGUAGGAUAUAAAGUACAUAGGUUUUGAAGAUACCUAAUUCGACUCCCCACUCCACCCCUAACUAUGUAAACCUAGAAGAGUUAAUGUCUCUGAACCUGUUUCCACAUUUAUUAAAUUACAGACGAAACAAGGCUACCAAAAUCACACUCCACUGAAGGUACUCUCCGUUGAUUUCAACAUGCCCUGAUAUUGUAUUAGUGUGCUGUCUUUCCUAUCCCUUAUUUUCAGACCCUGAGUUAAAGGGAGUGGAAUGCUCUCUUUACGACCUCACUCAGAAUCCCAUCCAGGAAGGGCUGUGCAGUGUGGCACUGAGCGGGGCAAGCACUCUGACAAUGAUGAGGGGGGCUGGGAGCUAGGUCCCUGGGCAGGGCCUAACGUCCAGCCACCCUGGCUACAGCCUGACGAAUCUGUGAUCAAGCAAAGGUACGGGGCUGCCGCUGCGACUGCAAAGAGCAAUCACCGGACCUCGAGACAGGCCCGAGUUCUAGGUCAGGCUCUGCCACCUCCUAGGAGGGAGACCACUUAGCAAACCAUUUAGCUUCUCCGAGCUAGCUAAGCUACUGUAAAAAGAGAAAAGCACCCCUUGCUCAGAGCAGCGGGAGAGGGUCUGGGGAAAUGAGCUAUACGCGGUAAACGGGGAAGAAAACGCAUCCUGGGCUCCGACACCUCCUUCCGGAGGUCCUGGUAUCCCCCGCAUUCCGCCCCGGAGCUCCCUGCACCGCCGACCCGGACCCACCACGCGGCAUUCCUUCCACUUUCCCCGUCUGGGUCGCCGCCGUAGCUAGCGGGCGCCUGGCCGGACCGCCUCCCACCGGCCGCAGCAGGACUGAGACACCAUGCCGGCGACCGGGCCGCUCUGUCCUCCCGGAGCGGACUGCGUCAGUGUGCGGAUCGUCACCGCGGCCCGGAGAAACUACAAUCCCCAGAAUGCCUCGCGCUGCGCGGCUCGCGCUCCGCAAAUCCCAUCCUACGUCAUUGGAGUCUCCUUCGCUGGAGGAGUUCAUUCAUUCCGCACGGAUUCAUUGAAGUGGUAGGUUCCUUCUCACGCUCCGGCACAGAGUGAUGACCACAAUCCAGUGACUUCCUGAACUGAUGACGCUGCAGGGGAGUCUUAAGAAAACAAACGGCCCGGCGCGGUGGAUCACGCCUGUAAUCCCAGCACUUUGGGAGGCCGAGGCGGGUGGAUCAUGAGGUCAGGAGAUCGAGACCAUCCUGGUCAACAAGGUGAAACCCCGUCUCUACUAAAAAAAAAAAAAAAAAAAAAUACAAAAA